Molecule: non-coding RNA, 764 nt
Organism: Petromyzon marinus (sea lamprey)
Lineage: Eukaryota; Metazoa; Chordata; Hyperoartia; Petromyzontiformes; Petromyzontidae
Source: RefSeq, a predicted model, not a curated record
CUUCUCCCUGACACUUACUCCCUCCCUCCUGUCUCUCCCGUCCAUCCCUCCACUUCCUCUCCAAAAUCCCCCCCCUCCCUCCUUUGUUUCCACAGAGGAGGCCAAGGCGUUGUUUUUGUACCGCGCCGUGCUGCUGCUGCUGCGGGUCACGUGACGCCAUCUCGAGUCGCUGAGGCUGAGAGUUCAGUCGCGAUGGGACUCACACACACAGAGAGAGGUGGUGCAGCGGUGAGCCGCGCUCUGAAUCCCGUGGGGUCCCGAGAUCGACGCUCGCUCACGGCCACUGAACGUGACAGAAGGUGGCUCAAACCCUCCAUGCGUGGGGGUGGUGGGUUGGUGUCAGCGGGGGCGGGGGGGGGGCAGGGAGUGAGCGGCCAAAGUUAGGAGCGGCAAGACGACCCGGGCGGAGAGGACUCGGCGCGGCCACCGAGGGAGGCGUGGGAGCGAUCGAAACAACGUGAAGAUUCUAAACAAAACAAAAACUCGAACCAAACAACUUCUUAUCGGUUGCUACCUUGGCAAGGCUUCGCUGAGAUUUUUUUUGUUUGUUGCGGAAGCGACCUGGCUAUCUCAGAUGAUAGCUCAACGAAAGUGGCUCACAAUCAUGAUUAUCAUCACGUGGACAUUCGUACCAGCCGUGAGAUGGGUGGCCGUUUGAGUCGACACACGUGAACAGCAUCCACGCAAAAUCUCUCGCUGUGCGUGCUAAACUACUCAGCAACUCGACGAGUGUGAGAUUAAAAGCAGCCCUGCACUGUGUAUCA